This 512-nucleotide ribosomal RNA is filed under the name uncultured bacterium. RNAcentral describes it as "bacterial SSU rRNA". It matches the Rfam family "Bacterial small subunit ribosomal RNA", at positions 15 to 518 of the family's 1533-position model. The record is from RNAcentral.
GAUCCUGGCUUAGGAUGAACGCUAGCUACAGGCUUAACACAUGCAAGUCGAGGGGCAGCAUUGGGGUAGCAAUACUCAGAUGGCGACCGGCGCACGGGUGAGUAACACGUAUCCAACCUGCCGCUUACUCGGGGAUAGCCUUUCGAAAGAAAGAUUAAUACCCGAUGGUAUAAAGAGUUCGCAUGUUCUCUUUAUUAAAGAAUUUCGGUAAGCGAUGGGGAUGCGUUCCAUUAGAUAGUUGGCGGGGUAACGGCCCACCAAGUCUACGAUGGAUAGGGGUUCUGAGAGGAAGGUCCCCCACAUUGGAACUGAGACACGGUCCAAACUCCUACGGGAGGCAGCAGUGAGGAAUAUUGGUCAAUGGACGAGAGUCUGAACCAGCCAAAAGUAGCGUGAAGGAUGACUGCCCUAUGGGUUGUAAACUUCUUUUAUAAGGGAAUAAAGUGAGGGACGUGUCCCUUUUUGUAUGUACCUUAUGAAUAAGGAUCGGCUAACUCCGUGCCAGCCGCGGC